AGGCACUUGUCUGCCAUAUAGUGGCUAAAAUUCAGAUGAGAUGUUGGGGCUGCAUUAUAUAAAUGGUACUAUGAGUUCCAUUAUCUUUGGUGAACUAAGGUUUUAGCUGUAGUUAAUGUAUGUUAAGAGGUUUGGUCUAGCUGUUUUUGGAAAAUGACAGAACGCUAAAGCCACGUGGUUACUUCAGACAGAUGUUUUCCUUUAGGUUUCUAGAGACAGGCGCAAGAGAACCCUUGACUUUCUUCUGUAUGGCUAGGUCCUGGUGGUUACCCUUCAUCAAGAUCAUGGUAAAGUAAACUUGAGGAAAUUUACCUGUCCUCCUGGUGAAGAGAACUUAGGAACCAAAAUACUUCAAUGAAAACUCUGUGCAUGUCUCUGAAUUCUUCCAGAAAUACAGCUAUGACUGAAUUCAAGAUGAAGAUGGAAAUGGAUGUUUGCCCCAGACAAAGAGUAAAGGAUGUUGGUCAAAUACCUUCAGUUAACACCAAUAGGCUUUGAAGUGUUUCAUGGCAUUUAGAGAAGAUAGGCCUCAGCUAGGAUUAAUAAUAAAUGGACAUUAAUCUAAAGUCAUUGCAGUCAUGUACUUUCCAGUAUUUUUGUUGCGUGUAUAAGCACUGGUCAUCCGUGGUUUAAAGAGGGACCCACACAGGAUGCUUUCCUGCUGUGCUGACUCAUUCCCGAUAGUCUAAAAAAUGAAAAGGGGCAUGUGUGCUUCCUGAUUUCCACAUUGCUUGUAACACUUUUAAACCAAAAUGUUUUGGAUUCUCUUUGUCUGUCAAAAGCUAAGGUUCUUAUUUAAUCAGCAGAUUCCAGAGUAACUUUUAAAGUGCUAUUUUACCACAACUGUUUUCAUCUUUAUUCACUGUUUUCCCAUGCACUGAGGAAAUAAGAGGGCUGGGAAAUUACAAAAAAUAAGAAAACCCGUGUGUCUUGUAAGACCCUCCUUCAGAAAGUGAUUAGGGGCUCCUCUGUCCACCAGUUAAUGUGUGCUAAAUGGUCAAGUGACUCAUCUUAGCUCAUGUUUGAUUGCCUGUGCUUUCUGCCUGCUUGUGUAUAAACAAAUUAGUAACACCCCUCCUCAAUAAGGAACCAUGAGGUGUGUAGUACUUCUAAGAAAAACACAAAGUCAUUUGUAUCUGAUUUGCCAAACAACCACUCUAAAAUCAAAGAUGCAUAGGAAAAAACAAAACCAAUCAGUAACAAGGAAAUCUGGAAGUUGAUGGCAGAUGCACAAUGUCUAUCCAUUGCCAUUAGAAAGCCCAGAUAAACUAAAGUUCUCCCCUGCCUGCCCAGCCCUGAGGUAUGAAAGCCAGGCAAAAAUUACUUAGGAGGAAAAGUAAACUGAGAGCAAUAAAGGAUAAAAAGCUGAAAUCCACCAAGGUAUCAAAUUAAGUCAUUGUGUUAAAAAGCAAAAGAAAGAAUGCUGUUUCAUUGACAAAAGCUUUAUGCC
Chiroxiphia lanceolata (lance-tailed manakin) is the source of this 1450-nucleotide long non-coding RNA. RefSeq lists it as uncharacterized. Lineage: Eukaryota; Metazoa; Chordata; Aves; Passeriformes; Pipridae. The record is from RefSeq and is a predicted model, not a curated record. The transcript is spliced from 3 exons.